ACUCCUGCGGGAGGCAGCAGUGGGGAAUUUUGGACAAUGGGGGCAACCCUGAUCCAGCAAUGCCGCGUGAGUGAAGAAGGCCUUCGGGUUGUAAAGCUCUUUUGUCAGGGAAGAAACGGUAGUAGCGAAUAACUAUUACUAAUGACGGUACCUGAAGAAUAAGCACCGGCUAACUACGUGCCAGCAGCCGCGGUAAUACGUAGGGUGCAAGCGUUAAUCGGAAUUACUGGGCGUAAAGCGUGCGCAGGCGGUUGUGUAAGUCAGAUGUGAAAUCCCCGGGCUCAACCUGGGAAUUGCAUUUGAGACUGCACGGCUAGAGUGUGUCAGAGGGGGGUAGAAUUCCACGUGUAGCAGUGAAAUGCGUAGAUAUGUGGAGGAAUACCGAUGGCGAAGGCAGCCCCCUGGGAUAACACUGACGCUCAUGCACGAAAGCGUGGGGAGCAAACAGGAUUAGAUACCGGGUAGUCCCAUGA
This 473-nucleotide ribosomal RNA is filed under the name uncultured organism. Its description in RNAcentral is "partial 16S ribosomal RNA". It matches the Rfam family "Bacterial small subunit ribosomal RNA", at positions 335 to 800 of the family's 1533-position model. The record is from RNAcentral.